This 52-nucleotide transfer RNA is filed under the name Petrocosmea parryorum. RNAcentral's name for it is "partial tRNA-Leu". Lineage: Eukaryota; Viridiplantae; Streptophyta; Magnoliopsida; Lamiales; Gesneriaceae. The record is from RNAcentral.
AAAAUCCGUCGACUUUUAAAAUCGUGAGGGUUCAAGUCCCUCUAUCCCCAAA